RNAcentral lists this ribosomal RNA (601 nucleotides) under Trichoderma koningiopsis. RNAcentral describes it as "eukaryotic LSU rRNA". The stretch from base 212 to 365 matches the Rfam family "5.8S ribosomal RNA". The record is from RNAcentral. Lineage: Eukaryota; Fungi; Ascomycota; Sordariomycetes; Hypocreales; Hypocreaceae.
UCUGUUGAUGAACGCGCAGGGACAUUACCGAGUUUACAACACCCAAACCCAAUGUGAACCAUACCAAACUGUUGCCUCGGCGGGGUCACGCCCCGGGUGCGUCGCAGCCCCGGAACCAGGCGCCCGCCGGAGGGACCAACCAAACUCUUUCUGUAGUCCCCUCGCGGACGUUAUUUCUUACAGCUCUGAGCAAAAAUUCAAAAUGAAUCAAAACUUUCAACAACGGAUCUCUUGGUUCUGGCAUCGAUGAAGAACGCAGCGAAAUGCGAUAAGUAAUGUGAAUUGCAGAAUUCAGUGAAUCAUCGAAUCUUUGAACGCACAUUGCGCCCGCCAGUAUUCUGGCGGGCAUGCCUGUCCGAGCGUCAUUUCAACCCUCGAACCCCUCCGGGGGUCCGGCGUUGGGGAUCGGGAACCCCUAAGACGGGAUCCCGGCCCCGAAAUACAGUGGCGGUCUCGCCGCAGCCUCUCCUGCGCAGUAGUUUGCACAACUCGCACCGGGAGCGCGGCGCGUCCACGUCCGUAAAACACCCAACUUCUGAAAUGUUGACCUCGGAUCAGGUAGGAAUACCCGCUGAACUUAAGCAUAUCAAUAAGCGGAGGA